ACCAACCAGCCGAAAAAACUAGCGACCCACCUCCUUACCUUAUCCGAACUCCUCCACGCACCUACUUCACCUUCUUCCCAAUCAACGGCAACCCGGCCGAACUCCCGCUUCAGCUUCUUCCUGCCGGAGGCAGCUACUCCCCGGCGCGUUCCCAAACUCCUGCCCCGGCUUCUUCCCGUCGGCGAACUCCGUGGCGAGGCUCCCAGAUUCCCGCCAUGGCUUCUUCCCAUGCGGUGGCCGUUAACUCCCCGGCACAGGUCCCGAACUCCUGCUCCGGCUUCAUCUGCAUCGGCGGCGGCCAUGUACUCGCAGGAGCUCACUCAAUUUGCUCAGUAUCGCCGUGCGACCGGACGGAGCUCCUGAUCUCCGCUAUACGCACGCGUCCAUGGCAUUCACCACGCACUGUGCUCCUACUGCCAUUUCAUCUCACUGUCGUGAGAAGGCUCCUGUGCCACUCCUCCGCUUCAUCCUGGUACCUAGUAGGCGUUUACUUUCUUUUCCCACCAAUUCAUGUUUCUUAUGCUAAAAAUAGUAGAUGGAAGAUGCAGUAUGCAUUGUUGAUGUGUGAUGCUGAUUAGGCAAAGAGAAGUUCAUUCCAUGUGUAUGGAAAAUUCACCUUUUAUUUUCAUGUGAGUUCACUUCUUCUCCAUUGUUCAUGCUUCCCCUACAUGACCUGCAGGACCGCGCCACCAGCGCCUUCGCGGGAGUUCACCGGUUUGUAUAUAUUUGAUAACUCGCCACUGCAAUUUCUGUGUUUGCCGGUUCGUUCGCUCUCGCUAAUGAAUUCUCACCUAUAGCAUAUGCCCUCUACAUAUUUGUUGUUAUUCCUAAGAGAGAUUAAAUUAAACACUCUCCGAUGUUUCAUCUUAUUUGUUGUGGAGUUCACUUCAAUCUACGAAGGAAAUCCAUUUAGUUUGGUCAGAGAAGUUUUAUUAGUUCACAUAGUAAGUUUGCAUAUUUAUGUUAGCACCACCUCAGUCUAGGUAAGUUCAUCUCCCCCCUCCUCUUUCGUGCAGGAAGUUGAGAAGCCUCUACAGUGAUUGAUGCUAUGGAAAAUUAAUUCUGAACUACUACAUGGAUACAACUGAACCACAACGUGAGUAGCUUGCUAGCGCUGCAGAAUCUGCAGUUUAGAAAGAGUGCGCAGUUUAGAGAGUUAAUGUUCAGAGAACUCAUUUUUACGGGGAAAGAUCAAUAAGUCCAUGAUUAAAGAUAGAAUAUGGUGUUUAAUAAGUUCACUUCUAAUAAUCUGUGAAGCUCACUUCUCCAAAUCUGUGAAGCUCACUUCUCUUAAUUUGUGAAGUUCACAUCGACUGCUAUUUUCAUUUUAUAUAUUCCUGCUAGAUAGAAUAUUUGUGAAGUUUGUGGCUGCGGGAUGGAUGAUCCGGUAAUACUCCAUGGGGAUUUCAACGCUAAAACUUAAGUACCCACAAGCAGCAUUGCAACGAGCUGGGAGUUCUUGCGGCUGGCUCCUGCGGUUGUCACUGCAAGUCAUGCUCUUCAUUGCAUGAAGCAGCCGAGCACAAGUGUGCACAACAGGAAUUAAGGUACGGAGAUGACGAGCUCACUUUUCCUAAUCCGCGGAGUUCACUUCUCCUAAUUCGUGAAGAAAUGUAGCUACACUGGGGGUUCACUCGUGUAUCCUCAACAGUCCAGCGGGCUUCUCGAAGGAGUCCAGCACACGACCGCACCUCUCAGCAAUCUAGUGUGUGUUGCUGGAAAGUCCACCUGCAGCUCCGUGGAUACUCAGGCGGACCGCUGCUAGAUAACUUCACCCACAUCAUGGAAGCAAUAAUGUCUUAGGAGUCCACAGCUUUGGCGAGUCUCUCUUGCCCAGAUGCAGAAAACUAGAAUUUCGGAUUUAAUUUUGGAGCACUGCAGUUCACAUCGGCGUUGGCAAAUAUCCAUCACCUACCUCCGCAUCGGCGUUGGUGAACAUUCGUGCACGCCAAGAUCCCGGCUAUGAAGUUCACAUCUUUUUUCAGCGUAAGCUUACUGUGUGAGGGGAAAGAAGUUCAGUAAAAACUACAUCAGCUAAUACAUUGUGGUACAAUUCAUCAUUGCUCAUUGUAUGCUGUUGGAUGCUACUGCUGAUGUGUUGGUGACACUUA
This is a non-coding RNA of Lolium perenne, 2111 nucleotides long. Lineage: Eukaryota; Viridiplantae; Streptophyta; Magnoliopsida; Poales; Poaceae. The record is from RefSeq and is a predicted model, not a curated record.